GUCCGCAACGAGCGCAACCCUACGUUUAGUUGCUAACGCGUGAAGGCGAGCACUCUAGACGAACUGCCGUUGCAAAACGGAGGAAGGUGGGGAUGACGUCAAAUCAUCAUGCCCCUUAUGUUCUGGGCUACACACGUGCUACAAUGGCCGGUACAGACGGAGGCGAAGCCGCGAGGCGGAGCAAAUCCGAAAAAGCCGGUCUCAGUUCGGAUUGCAGGCUGCAAUUCGCCUGCAUGAAGUCGGAAUCGCUAGUAAUCGCAGGUCAGCAUACUGCGGUGAAUACGUUCCCGGGCCUU
RNAcentral lists this ribosomal RNA (296 nucleotides) under uncultured Pelotomaculum sp. Its description in RNAcentral is "partial 16S ribosomal RNA". It matches the Rfam family "Bacterial small subunit ribosomal RNA", at positions 1085 to 1382 of the family's 1533-position model. The record is from RNAcentral. Lineage: Bacteria; Bacillati; Bacillota; Clostridia; Eubacteriales; Desulfotomaculaceae.